Vespa mandarinia (Asian giant hornet) is the source of this 2493-nucleotide long non-coding RNA. The record is from RefSeq and is a predicted model, not a curated record. NCBI's taxonomy places the organism in Eukaryota, Metazoa, Arthropoda, Insecta, Hymenoptera, Vespidae.
UCAGUAUCAUUGAUGUUAUAUUUAAUACUUUUUUAAAACUGAAACGAAACAAUAGUAAAUUGAAAAAAGUUCUUUGCCGUACGAAGAGAUUAAUAAUAAGUAACCAUAAAAAUAUUAUUGAACGAUUAACAAGCGUAGUAGUAAUAUAUUCGAUCACGUCGAAACUUUUAUUCGUCUACUUGACUGUUAUGUGACCUUAAUAGAUUUACAUUGUUAUGAACAUCUUGUUAUAUUUUUUGCCAUUAUCUUGUUGUAUACAUAAUUCUUCCGUUUAUAAUAAUUCAAUUGUGAAUAUUUUUCGAGAUAACCUUAAAAAUUUGAUUAUUUAUAAAUUAAUUGUAUUUAAAAUAUUCCAACGACUAUGCACAUGAUGUGAUAUAUUUUGAAGAAAAAAAAUAAUUCCAAACGACGAGGAGUUGUUAAAUUAAAAUUGGCCUUAUGCGCGGAACAUAAUACGCAAGUUGCUAUUCAGGAACUCAGACAUUUAUUUCGAGGUUUGUUGCUAUAUAAAGUUGAGAUUAAGAAAAAUCGAAUAAUAUUGUUGAUCUGAUCCUGCAGAAGCUUUAAUCUUCCAACAUAAUGCAUAACGUAGCCUCUUAACUAAAAACAUUGCCCUAGAACAAUGGAUUGAAUAUGUUAGGAUCCAUCAAAAACAUCUACUUAAUUUUAUGGUUUGUAAUAAAUUUAUAGUCACUUUGUUAAGAUCUAUAAAUAAUGGAUUAUUUUUUAACAAAACUACUUUGGGAUGCGACAAGAAAAUUACUAUAUUCUUACUUAAGUACAGUAUAAGGAAAAUAGGAAGAUUAAUUUUAAGAGAAAAGAAUACCAUAACAUAGCUAUCUAUUCAGGAGACAAACAGUACGAAAUUGGAUGUUAUUCGAGAUUUAGAGAAAACAAUUAUACAUGGUGGUGCCAAAUGGUAGGUAUAUAGCUUCUGUGUGUAUAUACUUAUUUUAAUAUAACUUAUAUUAAUUAUUGGUGAUUAUAUAUUGUUAUAUUGAAAGAUUUGAGCACAUAGCAAGUAAUACCGGAGACUAAAUCGGACAAACAUGUAUGCAUUCAGAUAUCAAAUUAAAAUAAUCCAGUUAAUGGGAACAGAUUUCAGAGAAGAUUAUUUAUUUGGAGAAGAUAGAUUAUUACAAGCUGUUCGUCAAGAAAAUUAAUUUCCUUUGAACAAACACAUUGUAUAUUAUGUAUGAAAAGAAAAGAAAAGAAGAACAAGUGAAAUGUGCAUGGAAGCUCUGAAAUAUAUCUGUGAGAGAUUAAAAUAUAUAGAAGUCGAUAAUAAUAAUGAUUCUGAGUUAAUGCUUGGUACAACUUUAUUAGAAUUCUUUCUCAGGUUUCAACGAUAUGCUAUCCUGGGCCAAAUAGUUUAUGCCAAAGGACAAUUGGAAUCUAUGAAAAUACGAAUAGUUUAGAAUUGGUGUAGCAUAUUGGUUGGAUAUUGCAGUAUACAAGGCUUUAAAACAAAUCGACGGAGCUGUUGAAUUUGAUACAUUACAAGCUAUUGAUAAUAUUAUGCGAUAUAUAUGCAGUUGUCACAUUAAUGAUUUUUUAUCCAAUUGGACAUAACUGGCAUGUUGAAGAAUCUUAUACAUUAGUCACCAAAAUUUUAGACAUACAUUAUUAAUAUCUUCCAAUUUUUUUUCUAUCAUUUUUUAUAUUCAUGAUCGUAUUAAUAUGAGUGAGAAAAUGAUGUUAUAGGACAUUUGUAAGUGUUUCAUUAUAUAUGCAGAUAAACUAGCUACGAAAGCAAAGACUACAACAAAUUUAGGACAGUUUAUUGAAAAUAGCGUGUAUCUAAUGCUCGACGCUGUGCUAUUAAUAAUAUUGAUUAUAUUAGAACAUUGAUUGAUCCAUUGAUGCAAGUAACUUAGACUUACAAUCGUUGAUGGUUUAGGAAAAAACAAGAAAGGAAAAGAAAAUAGGCCGUUCGUUGCAAACAGAUUCUUUAGCUGAUCGUUGCUAAUGUGACAGAAACUGUGAAAAAUAAAAUUUAUGAAUUGUUAGAAGUUGUUGCGCACAAAAUGGAACUUAGUAUGAGGCUAUAUUCAUGGAACGAGCAGAUUUGUUUCAUGAUAAAUGUAUGCAAGAUAAUAAUGUAAUUGACACAUACUUGAUCAUCGAAGGAAGGAUCAUUAGGUAGAAUCAUCGGGUGAAACUCUUGGGGAAGCCCUCGGCUAUGGUCCCUUGGGAGGGAUCUUGGGUUAGAUCAUCAAAGGAAGGACCAUUGAGUGGGACCUUUGGGAGAGGGUAGUAGUAGUAGCAACAACAGUCGUAAACCUCUUUGAGUUAAUUCGGAUAUUGUGAUUACGUGUAAAUAUUCUAUUCAAUCUCUAAGUUGCAAAAUUUACAAUUUAUCAAAGUUAAAAUGACAAGGAUUAUCAAUUAUAUGGACUUGAAUUUACGCCAGAAUGAUAAUGAACUGUACAGCAGCCGGAGAAAUAUGUGUAUCUCGUUGUUUAUUGCAGAAUGGACAAAUCAUUCUCAUCA